UUAUAGGGUUAACUUCAUACAGUUUUUUGUAACCAUAUCGAAUAUCAAAUGUAUUCCUACAAAGUUCAACUUUUCAUAUUUAUUUCUGCAAAAAUCAAAUAAUAUUUAUAUUUGUUUCUUUGUUUUGUUAUCAUCAUAAAUAUGUCAUUCUAAAAUUCUAAUUGUUAAAAUUAUACGGAAAUGUCAUUUCAAAAAUCUCCAACGAUUAUCUUCUUGUUGAUUGUUAUCCAACCGUCUCUAGAGCAAGUGGCAAAGGACUUGUUGGUUGGUAUCCGAGACCCAAGAUCGAAUUCUAGUUGAUUCACAUUUCCAACUAAGUUUAUUCCUAAAUGAAAUAAACGAAGCGGGUAGCGUGCUAUCUAUCUCUCUCAAAAAAAAAAAAAAAACUCCAACGAUUAUCUUCUUUAUUUCUACCAUCAUAAGUGAUAUAAUAGUGGUUAAAAGGCUAAUUUGCAUCAUUCAAUAACCGGGAUUACAUAUUUUACCUAUUGUUAAUUAUAUUUUUUUAACGGAUUCUAACAGUAAAGAUAUACGUGGAAAUAUUAAAAUUUUCACGGUAAUAAAGAUGAAAGGUUGAAAUUUUUAGGAAUAUAUAUAUUAUUCAAACUGUAUGUAAUGUAAAUAAUCUAU
RNAcentral lists this long non-coding RNA (630 nucleotides) under Ananas comosus (pineapple). Its description in RNAcentral is "long non-coding RNA (ACOM_LNC011001)". The record is from RNAcentral. Lineage: Eukaryota; Viridiplantae; Streptophyta; Magnoliopsida; Poales; Bromeliaceae.